AUUGAACGCUGGCGGCAGGCCUAACACAUGCAAGUCGAGCGGAUGAAGGGAGCUUGCUCCUGGAUUCAGCGGCGGACGGGUGAGUAAUGCCUAGGAAUCUGCCUGGUAGUGGGGGAUAACGUCCGGAAACGGGCGCUAAUACCGCAUACGUCCUGAGGGAGAAAGUGGGGGAUCUUCGGACCUCACGCUAUCAGAUGAGCCUAGGUCGGAUUAGCUAGUUGGUGGGGUAAAGGCCUACCAAGGCGACGAUCCGUAACUGGUCUGAGAGGAUGAUCAGUCACACUGGAACUGAGACACGGUCCAGACUCCUACGGGAGGCAGCAGCGGGGAAUAUUGGACAAUGGGCGGAAGCCUGAUCCAGCCAUGCCGCGUGUGUGAAGAAGGUCUUCGGAUUGUAAAGCACUUUAAGUUGGGAGGAAGGGCAGUAAGUUAAUACCUUGCUGUUUUGACGUUACCAACAGAAUAAGCACCGGCUAACUUCGUG
Molecule: ribosomal RNA, 484 nt
Filed under: uncultured bacterium
Lineage: Bacteria
Description: partial 16S ribosomal RNA
Rfam family: Bacterial small subunit ribosomal RNA
Source: RNAcentral